ACAAGCCAACUUAGGUACUACAAAGACCUUGAAGACAGCUCAACCAUUGCUCGACUCUCUCGUUUUAGGGGACCCAAGAUAGAUCCAGGGAAGGGAACACGACUCGUAUGGCAUCCCCCUUGGCCAAAAGGCAACACUCAGUCUCUGUUUGUGUGUCGGCUUGGGAGAAUUUGGGUCUGUUUGGCCAUGAGUGAGCUCUUGCCAGAUAAACCCUCAGCUAAAUCAUCAUCGUUUUCUCAUGACCAUCACCCACCCCCCUUCCAUUUCCAUUAUUCUCUUCAACUUGCGGCGUAUUUUCUAGAUGACCCCAAAAAAUCCCAAACCCUAGCCGCAAUGCAACAGUAUCGAGUGGAGUCAGUGGUUGCUGUAUAACAGCAAACCCACAGGGAAACGACGCCGUUACAUGAGGAAUUUCCAGAUUCCUCCGUUCUUACUUUCAAUUUCUGCAAGGGUGAGAAACAGAGCCAGUUUGCAGGAAUAUUAUGCGAGGAUGAGGUUACCAUCAUGGACUAUCCACGACAGUAUGAGGGCUAUCCCUUCCUUCCACUGUCUUUGAUUCAACAUCUUCUUUGUGUUUGUGAGAGUUGGCUUUCACUUGGAAAUCAGCGGGAAAAAAAUUGUAUGGCUCCUUCUGCAACAUGCUGCCCAAGUAAGCCAAAAGAAAGUUGGGGUUGAUUUCUCUUCAUGUCACUGCCGCUAAUGUGAAGAAAGACUAUAUUGACUGUACUGAGCUUCGUUUAAGAUGGGGAGCAAAUAGCGGGGUCCUCAAAUUGCGUAGACAAAGACCCAUAGACUUGGCAAAGUCUCAAGAUAUGCGUUUCAUGAUGAAUCCAACCAAUAUUAGCCACAUGAAUCGUACUUUCUCAAUUCAACGUGAGUAUAGUAGUUUUCAAGGUGAUGAACUGAUUUUAGAGACAUGUGAUGCAAAUUUACAAAUUUACAUGUAAGGGCUGGGUCUAGGUUGUGCACAUUGUGAGAUGGUGGUGACUGCUAGAUGGGCUGUGAACCUUGACAUUCCUUGUCUAAUUCAGAACUUGGGUGUAGCUCAUAAGGUGUUUGAAGAAAUAUUUACGAGAGGGAAUCAAGUCAAGUCUGUCAAGAUGCCCGAAGCCUAAUAUUUUUCUGAGACUAGUGACUCUGGUCAAUCUUUGAGUGGUACCCAAAGGAGGAUUAAUGUUUAUCUUACAAUGCUAUUACCAGAUGCCACUUACACAAAGGUUAAUCUUGAACUUGAAGGAAUUUCCAUCACCUCCACUAGAGCAACAUCAACAGCAGGCGACCUCAUCUACGAGCUAAAAUUGAAAUUUUUUGAUAAUGUUGAUGCAAAGAAAACCAAACUAAAUAUAGGAGCAAUAGAGGCAGCAAGAGGCGUUGCUUAUAUCCCUUCAGAGAGUGAGAUGAAGCUUGUUCAUGGCAUCAACCAAAACUCAAACAUCUUUCAACAUGAAUCGGUAAGGUGUUCGAUUGUGGUAAUACCCUACCUUAAUUAUAAUGUGUUUUUGAAUGUGUAUGGGAAAAUGGGUUUACCUUGGAAAAAAAUUGGAGGUGGUUAUCGGCAUGAAGAGUAAAGAGUAUGGUUUUGCUCAAUUUGGGUCUUGGAAGAAACUGGAGGGCGCAAAAGAAAAAAAAUGCUUAUUGUUGGAUCUGGUGCACUAGGCUGUGAGUUAUGUGGCAUAACUUUAGAGUUAGAGCUGUCCAUAGGUGGAAUGUACCAGAGAGAGCCUUAUUCAAGUGGGGGUACUAAUGCUACAAUGCUCUUAACCUUGAGGACAAGGUUUUCUAGGGGGGGGGGGUGAAUGUUAUGAACCUCAAUUGGACUCAGUUCAAGAGAGAAGUUAGAAGCUGAAGCCAUGAAGAUAAAAGGUAUCAGAGCAGUGUUGAGUUCGAAAUGGGCUGCCGAGGAGGAAACGGUGCCGUUCAAUACAAGCAGUGUAGCCAUGAAGUGCUGCGUUUCAUGUUAGUGAGGUGUUGCGUUUCAUGUUGUAGUAGGUGGCCUUGCCACAUGUCAAGUAGAAUGGCUGUGCCAGAAGUUAGGGGAUUCUGUUAGAAGAGUUAGUUAUUUUCCCUGUAAUUUCUUAUUAGUAGAAGGGAAGGGAAAGGGAGGGGGCAUUGGGGAAUCAUCUGAUCAAUUUCCUGUAAGUUUCCUUUUGGAGGAAGGAAUGGCCUCGAACACACUCCGGCGUAUGAGUAUUUUCUAUUAUUUUCUUGUGUAGUCCAUUUCAUCUUUAUUACAUCAGAUCCUUUGUACUUCAUUACAGUCCCUAUACAAGCAGGUACUUAACAGUUGAUUCGUAUUCUUCGCUGAAGGGAUUUUCAUUGAUUCGGCUAAGAGAUUCACAAUUGGACCUGAUUCCAAACGUGGCAUUGCUCUCUUCUCGACGGUUGCUUGAUUGAGAAGACAAAAGGUCCUAACCUCCCUCAUUCUUUUAGCUUUGUGUCCUAGAAAGACGGCAACUGUAAUGGCUGUGAAGGAGACCUUAAGGUCAGCCUCUUGGCACUUUUUCCAGUACAUUAUUCUUGGUGGAUAAGAUUUAUUGGUGCUAAGGGUGAUCAUCGAAGGCAUGUCCUGUAUUCUCUAGUUGCUAGUAGUCUUUUAACUUUGAGUCGUUUGAAUUUAAUCAUUUUUUUUUAACUUAUCAAUCUAUCAAUGUUAAUGCUUGUCAUGGAGCAUGUUGAAUUGGAUGGGGUGGGGACUGUUGUUACUCUAGUUCAGAACCGUGCCAUGGAGCGCUUUGGAAUCAUGGUGUUACUCUACUUAUGCUGCUUGUCUAAAUUCUUGAUGAAUUUCAUCGCUCUCCCUUUUGCCUGUCGUUCGUAUAACACCUUAUAAGCUAUCUUUGACUAUGAUGAACUUCUUACUUUGUGUUGCAAACACUCUUCUUGAGAUAGGUUCUGCAUCAGAUAUGUGCAGAUAAAUUUGAAUGAAUAUAAUCAUUGGUUGAUAGGUUUGGGUCUGCUUGUGCAAAGUCCACAUACAUUGAUUAAUAUACAUCAUAUCAAACCAACUCCUCAAAUAAACACCUAGUUUUAGUAAUUUUGCAUGACCUCAUCUGAUAGGAUAAAUCUGUAUGCUUGAGUAUUUAUAUAGGGUUUCCUCAUAAGACACGCCACCCUGGAAUUGUCCUUUUAAGUUGGAAAGGAUGGCGGCUUAUGGUCUUUUAACUCUAAAUAUUCUGCAUGCUCAAGUGUGUCAAUUGCAAGUGUAUUUGCUGUUAGCCUACUUUGGUUGAAACCAUAUGAAACUCUAAUUUCUAUAAGAUGAUUGCCUACUUUUUUUUAAGAGCCUCGUUAAUAAUCUCAGUGAACUUUGUUUAGGUUAGGUAGUCUUGCAAAAAUGUAAGUGUUAAAACUAAUUCCAUUUUCUAUAAAUAAAUUCAUAUGUGAAUCAUGUUAGACAUGACUUGUCGGGUAACUGGUGAUUACAAGUGUUCUAAUCCUUUAAUCAUUGUUAUUAAACCAUUUUUCCAGUGUCUUUCAACAGUGAAUACUUCUUGCUGAUCUUUUGCACAUCAUAAUAUGCUAUUCUUAUUUCAAUCUUCUUUGUAAAUGAGAUAAGAAAGGAAGCCUAGUUGGAGCCUGCUCUGUCUACAGAAGAUACUUUGGUACAUACCAUGCUGGUACUAGAGUGAGAUUCAUGAAUGAAUUUAAAAAUGAUUAAGCUGAAGUCUGGCUAAUACGGAAGAAAAGAACAAUCAAUGGAGAAUUUCAUACGUCCAAAGUCAAAGAGAUUCGCAUCAUAAAUAAGGAAGGAAAGAGCAAUUAAUGAAAAAUAUUCAGAAUCUGUAGCUUCUCUGAGUAGCCAACAGUAUUAUGGUCAUAUCUUUCCUGUCCAAUUUUCGAUUGAGGCGAAUCAAGAUGUGUUGGAAAACACAUUUAAUGGGCUAUAUUUGUUCCAAAAAUAGCAAUUUUCUAAUUCAGCCUUUUACUAUGCAACAAACGGCUUUUAAUAUGCAAUUGGAAAUCGGGAACACUACCUCCGUGAGAUUGGCACGUGAUUUUCUUUCCAAAAAGAUGAUGGCUUCAAGGAAGAAGGAAAAAUGUCUACAAUGUGGAAAGAGGGGUUUCUUUUGGGCAGAAAGACAUCUUCCAGAAAAAGAAUUCUUCUUCUUUCGAAUGGAGAGCUAAUUACUUGGUGAAGGUAGGGAUGAACUUGCUUGAAUGAUGAUGAUUUCAAUUCUAUGGAUUCAUGUAAUAAACUUUCUUGCUGAUACAAUUCUUGUUUAUCAUAUCUUAUUAGUCUUUCUUGUAUUUGGAUAAUUUUAUAACCAAUGCUUUUCAUAGGUUU
Molecule: long non-coding RNA, 4285 nt
Organism: Juglans regia (Persian walnut)
Lineage: Eukaryota; Viridiplantae; Streptophyta; Magnoliopsida; Fagales; Juglandaceae
Exons: 3
Source: RefSeq, a predicted model, not a curated record